CUAAGCGGGGUUAGCGAACCUCUACAACAACAACAACAACAACAACAACAACAACAACAACAAAUCAUACAAGACACAUAUAGACGUGCUCACAGAAACUACAAAAAUAACGCACAGGAAAUUUCGCUCAAAUAUUUCUGGCCGAAUAUACGUGACGCUUGUAAAAAGGAAGUACAGGACUGCGAAAUCUGCCUCGCAAACAAUUAUGAACGCCGACCAAAUAAACAACCAAUAGGUUCAGCACCAGUACCGAACAAGUUCAACCUACAAAUACUCAAAAUUCUGCUACUUGAGACAAAUACCAUCAAAGAAGGACACAUACAAAUACAUCGACGAGAUACUAUCACAAAUAUACCCUAACGCAAAGUUUGUAAUGACUGAUAACGAGUCAACAUUUACUGGCAUAUGUGCACAACAAAUUUAUAAGCGACUACAAAUAACGCAUACCAAAACCACAGCCUAUCAUUCAACAACAAACGGUCAAGUUGAACGGACGCAUAGCACUAUGAUUGAACUCGCAAAAGUUUUGGCCCACCAACACAGUUCCUGAUGAAACAGAUAUUUGAAGCAGUUCGACAGUACAACAAAACUAUCCAUUCGGUAACCAACGAGAAACCCGAGGACGUGUUUUUCAAUCAAAGGGGGUAUGCUGACAUCAAAUAGCGUCUUCAACAAAACCAAGAGAGAGUUUUGCGAUACCACAACCGCAAUCGCAAACAACUAAACUACAAAGAAGGAGAGGUAAUAUAUUCAAAGACCAAUAGACGGAACAAAAACGUAAAAAAAUACGCGAGACAUAUAGUCAAAAAAGACAACGGCGAAACAGUAACGACAAAUAAAAGAGUAAUUAUCCAUAAGGACAAUAUUAGAGUAAAGGCAUGUGCUGAAUAGUGUUUACCUUACUUUUCUCUAUCGCACUUUGCGACAAUGUAAUAGAUUUGACUAAUAGGAAAUAUGUUCUAGUGGAAACCGACCCUGUUUACAUUUAUCAGGAUACAGCUUUCCUGUAUCACAAAUACUAGCGCCAUACGAAAGUAUAAUGAAAUCAUCAUAUAAUCUAGAAAACCAACCUGAAACUCAAAUUUUAGUGAACAAAAUCGGAACUCUAAAAAAAUCAACUAAUUCCAAAAGUUCAUCACUGGUACACCAGACCACGAUGACCUUGUAGAAAUAAAAACUUCACUUAAUAAGCUAAUAGAAAAUAAUAACAAGAAAAGAACAAUUAACUCACAGUUCGAAAGAAUACUCGAAACCCUUGACCCCAAAACAAUGACCGAAAACAUUGUUAUAUCAGAAGUUUAUAAUGAACUCCAAUCAAUAACAAACACUAUAAAUUUUGCGAAAACUAAUAAUUUUUAUUCUAGCACAUUAAAUUUGAAGGAUGUGUACGAUUUAACAAGCCACGAAAAACUACAAUAGAUCUUCCAAUAAUUAAUAUAUUAGAAUAUGCCGACAUCCAUAUCUGUUACCGACAAGAAGCAAUUAUAACAAUAUACAAAUAUCCUACCCUCGAAACUAAAUGUAGCCUAUUUAAUGUAUAUCCUUUAGCACAUAAGCACGGUAAAAUUAAUUUAGACCCUAAGAUCGCAAAAUAUACAUAUAUCAAAGAAUAUCCAAAUGUAGAAAUUAUAUGUGUAACUUUAUUUGUAAGUCCGAACCCUCUCACAUUUGUACUAUGAAAAUAUUAGAAGGCAAAUCAGCACAAUGCAAAACAAUCCAUGAGAAUAAUGUCCCACUCCGCAUCUUAGAGACUGGAUACAUUUUUACAGAUUACUAGCACAUUUGGAACAACAUACAUAUAUCAGGCCCUAAAUUAAUACACUUUAAUGAAUCUUCAACCAUCGAUAAUAUCACAUAUUACAAUCAUCAACGACAACUGAGAGAAAUCAUGCAUAAUCAACAUAGCGAACAUCUUGAAGUACUCCGCAUCCUUUCCUCAAACUCAAUCUACAAAUUCAGCAAUAUCCAAAAACUCUCAACAUUUUUGAUACCUAUUGAAGAAAACCCAGUAAAUUAUACGUUCUUUAUCAUAGUGGGUUUCCUUACUUUAGUUGUUAUCACUUAUGGUAUGGUACAUCUCCUCCGAUACUAUGAAAAUAGAAGAAUGAUUCACAGACAAAGACAAAUUGACGAAUUAUACGAAAUCGAAAUGAAUCGUCUUCAACAGUAACUCGUAGCAGCAGCACAGCGAGGACGCUCCGUUUUAAGAGGGAGGAGAGUUAUCGGCGUUAGUACUAAGUUACAUACGUAUGUAUAUACAUAUAUACAUAAGCAUUGUCUAUACCGACAAACAACCUUUAACCUUGUAUGAUAACAUAGUGACAAAGAGAAUAUUAUAGAAUACAUAAACAAGCAUAUUAUUUAAGUAACAAAGCACCCAAAUUGUAAACAGCAUCAAAACAAUAAAACUUGUUUUGACGUACUUUAUCAUGAACAUGCAGAAUAAGCAAUAACAACCAAAAUUGUUAUCUAUUAGUAAACAGAUAACAACCGACGCAUAUAAAUAGUAUAAAUAUAACUAAGAUUAAUGUAAACUAGUUAGUCUUAAGAAUAUGAAUAAAGAUCACGCAUUUCAGCGUAGUGAAAAA
This 2588-nucleotide long non-coding RNA is filed under the name Ceratitis capitata (Mediterranean fruit fly). RNAcentral's name for it is "uncharacterized LOC105664629". The record is from RNAcentral. Lineage: Eukaryota; Metazoa; Arthropoda; Insecta; Diptera; Tephritidae.